CAAAGAUGAUGGCGAACUUGUUCACGAUUCCAUUGAAGCCAAAGGUGGUAGAAUGGUUACCUUAUCUAAUGAAAGUAUGAAACACACAUGUCAAUAUACAAUCCUCCCAAAAAGAAAAAGUACAUAAAGUCUCAUAGAUAGAUAUAAAUAAAACCAAACCAAACUCUGAUCCCAAAUUCCAAUGUUGUAUUAGAUUUUGAUAUUUUGGAUUUAUACCAGGAACUUGCAUAUGGAUAAGCUGUUAAUUCCUUUUAGCUGAGCACGUAAACACAAGUAAAGAAGUGUACAAUUACAAUUACAAUGGCCACUCUGCUAAUGGCACUCUUCUUAUUCUUCUUCUUCUUCUUGUGUGUGGUAGAGUUUUAUGCAGAGCACAACAGCCUCAGGUUGUUUAUCUUUCAAUUUCAGCAUCUUCACCUGACAAAACAAUCUUCCAGAUUGAGAAUUCUGGUGUCAUAGCUUGCCUCAGAGCUAACAGUGCAGAAGUGGCCUAUGAAGCUGCAAAUGCUGCAAUAGCAGAUGGCAUUUCACUUGUUCUAAACCAGCUGGUCAAGGAGCACCUGACUACGUCACUCGGAGUAUGCUUGCACCCUUUAAGUUUCUGGUUUCUCUUUCUGCAUCAAUAUUCUUUGUUUAGUGUAUCUUCACAUGAACCUACAUUAAGUUUUAUGAUAUGGAGAAAACAUCAUUGCAUUGUCUCGUUUUGUUGAAAUUUGAGAUUGUUUUCUGUACCACUGAGUCAAUAUGCUGGUUGAAGCAUCAAAUAGUCAAUACGCUGUUGUCGUCUCGUUGUCUUCGUGAAAUUCUUCAUAGCCAAAAUGUUUUCCUUUGGAUUAUUACUAACAUAAUAACUGUAUUAGCCUACUUCUGCAAAUUUUGGAAAACAAUUGAAAGUUGAGACAUUUGAAAUUGUUGGGUAUUUAUGAAAUUGUUGGGUAUUUACUAGCUUGUAAAACAAUUUUAUUUCAGAUUCUUAUGAUUUGUAAUUUUUUAUUACAUAUAGAUCAUCAAAACUCAAUGUUAACUCUAAACAAUUUGAAGAAAUGAAAAAAGGCUCCCAUUUAAGAUAAUCAUUACAUGAUAUUACAUUUCUACUCAACAGUUGUCUGAAUCAAACAGAUAUCUGCUCCUAGGUUGGGAAUGUUCUCAGGAUUGAGGAUGCAAAAGCUGCAUAAAAUUUUUGAUGAGUCCAGCAAUUGUUAAGGUUUGAAUUUGCAGAUCUUAUUACUAUAUUAAGAUGUCACAUAACAACUGCUAGUGCUUGGUCACAGUGUUUUGUUAUUUCUUUCAUUUUCUUUUUCUUUUUCUUUAUUUCUUUUUUUUUGCUCCGAUCGAUUACCACGACGUUAUGUAUUACAUUCAGAAUGGUGAAGUUUUAUACAUUCCUGGCACAAUGACUCCAACUGAAGUAAGGCUCAAUUUGGAGAUCCGAUUAACAUGAAUUCUUGCUUCCUUAAUUUCCAUACCUUGUGCAUCUUUUUGAGCAUUCAUUUGAUCUUGAUUUAUUGUUCUUAAUGAAGAUACUGUCUGUAUGUGAAGCAGGAGCUAAAAUUGUCAAGACUCUAUUGAGGAAUAUAUUUCGCGGGGAGCAUCAGCCGUUGUUCUGUCGGAUGCCAUAUUCGAAAAAGAGACGAUUGCGAAACGCAAUUACGAAAAGAUACAGAAACUUGCACAUUUUGCAGCCUUGCUGGGUAAUAAGGUGUAAAUAGGUAACAUUAUUAAUUUGUAUACCUUCAUAAAAAGUUUAUGGUUGUGGGUUUCUUAUGUUAUAGUUAUUUAGUUCAUUUUCAUAGAAACUUAUGGUUGUAGAUAUUAUAUCGAGAAUUAAAACAAACAAGCCACUCAAUUGAGAGAGA
This is a non-coding RNA of Arachis ipaensis, 1856 nucleotides long. Lineage: Eukaryota; Viridiplantae; Streptophyta; Magnoliopsida; Fabales; Fabaceae. The record is from RefSeq and is a predicted model, not a curated record.